CCUACGGGAGGCUGCAGUGGGGGAUAUUGCACAAUGGGGGAAACCCUGAUGCAGCGACGCCGCGUGGGUGAAGAAGUAUUUCGGUAUGUAAAGCCCUAUCAGCAGGGAAGAAAGAAGACGGUACCUGACUAAGAAGCCCCGGCGAACUACGUGCCAGCAGCCGCGGUAAUACGUAGGGGGCGAGCGUUAUCCGGAUUCACUGGGUGUAAAGGGAGCGUAGACGGCCGUGCAAGCCAGGAGUGAAAGCCCGGGGCCCAACCCCGGGACUGCUCUUGGAACUGUGCGGCUGGAGUGCGGGAGGGGCAGGCGGAAUUCCUGGUGUAGCGGUGAAAUGCGUAGAUAUCAGGAGGAACACCGGCGGCGAAGGCGGCCUGCUGGACCGCGACUGACGUUGAGGCUCGAAAGCGUGGGGAGCGAACAGGAUUAGAUACCCGGGUAGUC
RNAcentral lists this ribosomal RNA (441 nucleotides) under uncultured bacterium. RNAcentral's name for it is "partial 16S ribosomal RNA". It matches the Rfam family "Bacterial small subunit ribosomal RNA", at positions 338 to 795 of the family's 1533-position model. The record is from RNAcentral.